UACAGAGGUCCCAAGCGUUGUUCGGAUUCACUGGGCGUAAAGGGUGCGUAGGUGGUGGGGUAAGUCGGAUGUGAAAGCUCGGAGCUCAACUCCGAAAUGGCAUUGGAAACUACCCUGCUAGAGGAUUGGAGGGGGGACUGGAAUACUUGGUGUAGCAGUGAAAUGCGUAGAGAUCAUGAGGAAGACCAGUGGCGAAGGCGGGUCUCUGGACAGUUCCUGACACUGAGACACGAAGGCCAGGGGAGCAAACGGG
RNAcentral lists this ribosomal RNA (253 nucleotides) under uncultured bacterium. Its description in RNAcentral is "partial 16S ribosomal RNA". It matches the Rfam family "Bacterial small subunit ribosomal RNA", at positions 524 to 776 of the family's 1533-position model. The record is from RNAcentral.